AUAAACUUAUUUGAAUGUAGAUUAGUACAUCAUUGGCAGGGUCAUUAGUCCAACAACUACUGCGAUCAUCAUAAGUCCUUGUUUUUGCGAUGAAGUAAUCAUUACUAUUCUCCUUUAAUGUAUUCUCUCAUUGCUUGUUAAAUAGAAUACCACCAUUUUCAGUCUUUGAUCAAGUGCUGAUUCCUCUAAAGCUUAAAAAAAUAACUUUUCUAUGACAUUUUCGGCUGUUUUUACCUUGGUAAGGGUGUGCUUUUGUCUGUUGAUAUUAUGCAUUAUUAUGUUUCAUUUG
Molecule: unclassified non-coding RNA, 289 nt
Filed under: Aliivibrio wodanis
Lineage: Bacteria; Pseudomonadati; Pseudomonadota; Gammaproteobacteria; Vibrionales; Vibrionaceae
Description: putative sRNA
Source: RNAcentral